Long non-coding RNA from Passer domesticus (house sparrow), 4663 nucleotides. RefSeq lists it as uncharacterized. Lineage: Eukaryota; Metazoa; Chordata; Aves; Passeriformes; Passeridae. The transcript is spliced from 2 exons. The record is from RefSeq and is a predicted model, not a curated record.
CCAGGUCACACGAGGCCCUGCAGUGUCACAAGGGCCCCUUGGUUCUGUGGAGCCCACAGGGUCAGUUUUGCCAGUGGGUAGGGUCAGCACCAAAGACACAGACACCAACUGAAGGAAUUGUGUCAUUUAUAUAAGAUCCACACAGCAGCUGGGGGAAGCUGUCCCAGCCAAGGGCUGCAGAGCCACUCCUGGACACUGGGAAUUCCUGCAGGUGCCUCCAGCCACAGGUGAGGCUCCAAUCUCGCUGUGAGAGGGCCCAGCUCUGACAGUGCUGAAUGAACAAACUGACAGCACUUCUAGUGUGGGAACAUAUGGUUUCAUCCUCCUCUUGGGUUCCUCCCAAAGCCCGGCCAGGGCCAGAUGGGGCCUUGUCUGAUUUUUAAAUACAGAAAGGUAAAUCCACAUUUCACCAAUGAACAGAUAGAGAUCAUAUUGCUAAUAAAGAUUCAUUAAUGAGCAGAUACAAAGAUAAGCUUUGGUUGGAAGUUUCAUCUAGAGCUCAGGUUUGCCUCAGGGCCUGUUGUUCAGGCCACAUACAGGACCUGGUGUUGAGGCCUCAGGACAUCAAUCAGUGCUUUGACUUACAGAUGAUGAACUGCAACCUUCAUAACAAUUCUUUGGAUAACAGAGUUUAGAUUUAGCUAUUAGGCAUAAAGACAUCAGCUCUUGUUCUUCAAUUAAGUGUUGUUCAAGUUCAUUACUCAGAGCUAUAAUUUGCCUUCCAUUUAAAACAUCCCCAAUUAGUUGCUAUUCUCCAUUAUUUUAUCAAAUGUCCCUUUUUUCUUGAGACUGUGUCUCUUUUUAGACAAGACUCAGUACUCCGUUUCCAGCACAGAGUGCCACAACAACUCUAAAAUGAAAUCAUAACACACCAAGUGCUCAUAUUGCAAUGACGUGACACUGCCAAAAAUUAAUUUCACAGUAGCCUCCAAUUUGGCAGCCAUGAAGCCAAUGCCACCAAGAAAAAUUUUCUUCUUUCUGCCACUCUUCUACUGCCUUUCCUGUCAAGCUGAUUCCUGACUGUUGGCCUUCAAACCCAUCACUGAGAGCAGUACAACAUUCCUUUCCCAUGAGAGCCCAGGUUCCUCGCUGGCCAGCAAGCAGAUAAUCCCAGUCUGUGUGUUUCUGUAGAGCCCCAUUUGUGUUUGUUGGAGCUCCUGGGAUGUGAGAUUGGACAUUUUAACAGCAUCGUUUGCUAUUUCUUCUAAUAAUUGAUUUAGCUCAUUACUGUAAAAUCUGCAGAAUGGGGUAGUACACAUGGGGCACAGGUUGAACCAGAAUCUUUUGGUUUUCUGAGACCAAAUGCACCCCUUGGGUGGAAAAUGUUCUCUUGGCCCCAACUCUUCCUUGUGAUCGUUGCUGAAGGACCCUCAAGGGAGGCAUCAGCAUUGCCUGGAAACAGGACCCAAACCAUCCUUUAGGAAGCUAUUUAUGGGCAGUCUCCACACAGCCAGCAGCUUCCAUUCUCAGUACCAAAGGUCUGAUUUCCUAUUUCCCACUGUGGGCUGCUGAUGGAUGCAGGGCUCUUCCCUGGGCCCUCCAAGGGAGCCCCAUUCCUCCCAAAAUUGGUUGAGAGCAUAUCCAGGAAUUAAUUACAUUGAGUAUUUUGGAUACUUUGAUCUUAGCAUUCUCAAGAAUUUAAUGACUAAUCCUUGGUGAAACUCUAAAGGUUUUUGUGGCAAACAAAGAUUCUGGCUGACUAUCAAGAUACAACUUGCAGACAUCAAUAGUACUUUAGUGACACUGUUCUUCGUUCUUUUUCCUCGGUCUCAUUUGGGUUAGGAACAAUAAUUCGGUCGUCCAUGGAGGUGGCACUGUGUUAAUUUCAGAAUAAUGCCCCCAAGGUCCUUUGCUGUUCAGCUUUAGCACGGUGUCUGUGGCUAACAAGGCUUGGUGGGGCCCUUUCCCCUUGGGCUGGAAGGGGGCCGGGUCCCAGUCCCUGAGGGCACCCAGGCUCCUGGAUGGAAUUUGUGUGCAAGUCCCUCAGUGUCACAGCAGCCUUCACAUGGAGCCCUGUGGAUCAGAGCAUUUUCCAAAGGAGCCGUUGGGGCAAACAAGGAGAUUUGGUCUGGCAGGAUGUGUAAAACAGUAUCCUGUAAUAUCUACUUGUUCUGCAGGGACAUAUUCCCAUUGUUCCUGGCCAGGUUUCAGGAUUCAAUGUUGUCUUUCCUAGGAGCUGUUCCUUCAGCUGCCUCAGGAGGGCCUUUUGGCCUCCGGGCCCACACUCUGGCUCCAUUGUUAGGACUGCUGCAUCCAAACCCUUUAUCUCCACAAAUGGUAAUGACUGGAGGUGGAACUCCUUUUUUCACAAUCGUGCUUAAAAUUGCAAUAUCAAUAAUUGUGCUACCCUGUCAUGGGGUUGAAUAACCCAAUCUUAUUGACAAUUGUUUAACAGAAUUACUGUAAUUUCUCCUUUAUAUUCAGCACAAAUUCCUCCUUUCCUCCUGCCAUGACAUGAACAUUUUGCAAGGCCAAGCUCCAAAUGAGCAGUUACCAAACCAAAGAGUCCUGGAGGAAUCAGAAUUCCUGUCUCACUAUAGAUAGCUUUCAUUUGCUUUGGAUUUAUCCUAAUUAAUGGCAAUGCAUGAAGGUCCAGCCCUGCAGCCUCUGGGCUGGCCCUGCCAGGGGCCAUCACACCCACAACAAUUUCCCAGGCAGUGCAAGCCUCACUGUUCAUGGUUGUAGUUGCAAAUUGGGUGCAGCUGUGCACAGCCAGGGGGUUUCCAUUUCCCCAGUGGGCCAUUGUUAAGGGUAUGGAGCACACCUGGGAGAUGGGUUCUCCAUGGGGACAGGUUCCCAUCUCCUCAUUUUUUCAACUGCUCUUUUAACAAAUCCUUCACCUGUUCAACAAAUCCUGCAGCUUGAGGAUAGUCUGUUACAUGAAAAACCCUGCAGUCUUAAUCACGGUAUUUUCCACAGUAACAGACAAAGCACUCUGAAUCACAGCAUCAGCAAACCCUGUAAAAAUAAACAAUUUCAUCCCCUCCUCCUUUUUUCAUUGUAUACAAUCUCACAAAGUUUACCUCUGACAUUAGGGUCCUGGCCAAUCCUUUUCUGUAGAGUAUUUAGUGUUACAUCCCUGAGCAGCCAAAGCUACCAAAUUAGUAUUGUCAGCACUAUUUCACAUUAUUACAAUUUUAUACGUAGAUAUAGAUAUUGAUAUAGAAAUAUAGAUAUAGCUAGAUAGGUAUAGACAUACAUAUAAAAUAUAUAUAUAUCAAUAUAUAUUAAGGCCUGAUUAUACUAUAAAUAUGUACAUAGUUAUUUAUGAUAUUAAUAUUUCACUUGCACAAAUGCAUCGGAGCUCAAGAUUAAAACCUUCUUCUUGCUCCAUGUGGGAGCAUUCCAACAAGAAUUGUUCCUUCUGAAGGUGCUGUUUUCAAUGUACUGUUAACAAAUUCAUCUUUGUCUGCCCAAACCCACAAGUUCUUUUCCUUUUCCAUAUGCAAUUUUUGGAUACAUUUUAAGACAUCCAGGGGUUUAGCUUCUUUUAACCAACUGCCCCAGUGCUCACACAGUGCUGCGACCUCAGCCCACUCCAGAGCCAGCCAACUCCAGGGAAGGGCUUCCCAUCUGGGAAUUUCUGAUGCCACUGAUUCCUCACAUUUACAUUUAACAAGUGACAUUUUGCUGUGAUCUGGCCAGACUCUGCCAGUUUUGUUUUACCAGCGGGCAGGGUCAGCACCAAAGACACAGACUCCAACUGAAGGAAUCAGUGUCAUUUACUGCAGCUCAAAGCAGCAAAGAAUCACAAAAGGAGCAGUUCAACAAUGCACCCAAUCAUCAGCACCAAAGAUUGCAGCAGUGAUUAAGAAAGAUCCAGCACCAGUGUCCCUCAGACUUUACCAUCCCCCAGAUCCACACAGCAGCAGGGGGAUGUCAUAGCCAAGGACUGCAGAGCCACUCCUAGACACUGGGAAUUCCUGCAGGUGCCUCCAGCCACAGCUGAGGCUCCAACCUUACUGUGAGAGGGCCCAGCUCUGACAGUGCUGAAUGAACAAACUGACAGCACUUCUAGUGUGGCAACAUCUGGUUUCAUCCUCCUCUUGGGUCCCUCCCAAAGCCUGGCCAGGGCUCAAGGAGGAACCAAAGGAGCUGACUUUGAUCCUUCAGCCCCAAACAAGGCCAGAUGUCAGAUUUCAUGGCCUUGUCUGGCUUGCCAAUACAAAAAGAUCAAUACGUGUGUCACUAAGGAGUGGCUACAUCUAUCACAGUGCUAAUGGCAUGCAUAUUUCAUCAGUGAGCAGAUAGAAAGAUAACCUUUGGUUGGAAGGUUCAUCCAGAAGUCACCUUUGGCUCAGGGCCUGCUGUUCAGGCCUUGGCACUUCAGGGACGUGGUUUAGUGCUGGGCUUGGCACUGCUGAGUGAACGGCUGGACUGGAUGAGCUUAGAGGUCUUUUCCAACAGAAAGGAUGCUGUGAUUCCAUUACUAUAUCUGCUGCAUUCAGCUAGGUCUAUUUGAGCAGCAUUACUUUGCUCCAAAAGUUCCCUCUUGCUCAGCUCCUGUGGCCUGUGGUGACAGUUCCUUCAGCUCCUGGUGCUAAGCUGCUCAUGUUGAAUGAGACGACUCGGAGAGAUGAAUACAGUCCAGUUUCUUCUGGGACACAGAGAGGAGAGGGUGUGGAAACAGGAGCAUUGUUUGCUGUGGCCUCCUCUCUGCACU